UUUGUAGCUCAGUAGGUAGAGCGCCAGGUUGUGGCUCUGGUGGUCGCAGGUUCGAAACCUGUCA
RNAcentral lists this transfer RNA (64 nucleotides) under human gut metagenome. It matches the Rfam family "tRNA", at positions 6 to 65 of the family's 71-position model. From Rfam's summary of the family: Transfer RNA (tRNA) molecules are approximately 80 nucleotides in length. Their secondary structure includes four short double-helical elements and three loops (D, anti-codon, and T loops). The record is from RNAcentral.